Molecule: non-coding RNA, 66 nt
Organism: Cordylochernes scorpioides
Lineage: Eukaryota; Metazoa; Arthropoda; Arachnida; Pseudoscorpiones; Chernetidae
Source: the annotation of a GenBank genome assembly
UCCCACGUUGUCUAGUGGCUAGGAUAUCUAGCUUUCACCCAGAAGGUUCGAUUCCCAGCGUGGGAA